This 829-nucleotide non-coding RNA is filed under the name Anopheles gambiae (African malaria mosquito). RNAcentral's name for it is "Eukaryotic small subunit ribosomal RNA". It matches the Rfam family "Eukaryotic small subunit ribosomal RNA", at positions 1 to 751 of the family's 1831-position model. The record is from Rfam by way of RNAcentral. Lineage: Eukaryota; Metazoa; Arthropoda; Insecta; Diptera; Culicidae.
AUUCUGGUUGAUCCUACCAGUGAUAUACGCUCGUCUCAAAGGUUAAGCCAUGCAUGUCUAAGUACAAGCUUCCUAGAAAGUGAAACCGCAUAAGGCUCAGUAUAACAGCUAUAAUUUACAAGAUCCUCAUCCAAACAGUUACUUGGAUAACUGUGGAAAAGCCAGAGCUAAUACAUGCAUUAUGCCGGGACUGUUGGCCUCCGGGUCGGCGGAACUGGUGCACCUUAUUAGUUAAACCAAUCGCCUCCGGGCGCUUUGAGUUGAAAUCUGGAUAAGGAUGCCGAUCGUACGGUCGCUUGCGACUGACGACAGAUCUUUCAAAUGUCUGCCCUAUCAACUAUUGAUGGUAGUGUAGAGGACUACCAUGGUUGCGACGGGUAACGGGGAAUCAGGGUUCGAUUCCGGAGAGGGAGCCUGAGAAAUGGCUACCACAUCCAAGGAAGGCAGCAGGCGCGUAAAUUACCCAAUCCCGGCACGGGGAGGUAGUGACGAGAAAUAACAAUAUGGACCUCUCUAACGAUGGUCCAUAAUUGGAAUGAGUUGAGCAUAAAUCCUUUUGCAAGGAUCAAGUGGAGGGCAAGUCUGGUGCCAGCAGCCGCGGUAAUUCCAGCUCCACUAGCGUAUAUUAAAGUUGUUGCGGUUAAAACGUUCGAAGUUGAUACCCCGUCCAGACUCGCGUCCGUCGCGGGCGCCCGGCCUCUCGGUUGGGACCGUCCGUGUACGCGCUCGCGGCUGCGACUCACAAUGGUGUACCUGGGCGUUCUACUCCGUGACGGGUCAGGACUUGUCGCCGCGACCUCGUCGGUCAAGGUCUUGUUCGACCCAGCUU